UACGUAGGUGGCGAGCGUUGUCCGGAUUUACUGGGCGUAAAGAGCGCGCAGGCGGUCGUUCAAGUCGAGUGUGAAAGCCCCCGGCUCAACUGGGGAGGGUCAUUCGAUACUGAUCGACUCGAAGGCAGGAGAGGGAAGUGGAAUUCCCGGUGUAGUGGUGAAAUGCGUAGAUAUCGGGAGGAACACCAGUGGCGAAGGCGACUUCCUGGCCUGUUCUUGACGCUGAGGCGCGAAAGCGUGGGGAGCAAACGGG
This 253-nucleotide ribosomal RNA is filed under the name uncultured bacterium. RNAcentral describes it as "partial 16S ribosomal RNA". It matches the Rfam family "Bacterial small subunit ribosomal RNA", at positions 524 to 776 of the family's 1533-position model. The record is from RNAcentral.